Molecule: unclassified non-coding RNA, 377 nt
Filed under: uncultured bacterium
Lineage: Bacteria
Description: contains 16S-23S intergenic spacer region
Source: RNAcentral
UCCGGUUUGGCACCGGCAGUCUCCAAUGAGUCCCCGGCAUUACCCGCUGGCAACAUUGGACAGGGGUUGCGCUCGUUGCGCCACUUAAGGCAACACCUCACGGCACGAGCUGACGACAGCCAUGCAGCACCUGUGCAGGCUCCCGAAGGAGCACCGGCUUUCACCGGUUUCACCCUGCAUGUCAAGCCCUGGUAAGGUUUUUCGCGUUGCAUCGAAUUAAUCCACAUAAUCCACCGCUUGUGCGGGUCCCCGUCAAUUCCUUUGAGUUUUAACCUUGCGGCCGUACUUCCCAGGCGGAGAACUUAACGCGUUGGCUUCGGCACCGCGGGGGUCAAUACCCGCGACACCCGGUUCUCAUCGUUUACGGCAUGGACUAC